UCCAUUUAUUUAUUAUCGGCAGUUUUCUUAUCUUAUAAAUUAAAUUUAUUUACGCAAAUAAGAAUAAGGGUUGCGCCCGUUAAUGGAGCCAACCAAACAUCUCAAAACACGAGCUAACGACAGCCAUGCAGCACCUGUCCAUUAUUCAAAUAUUUAAUACAAAAAAUAAAUAUUUUGUCUCUUAGAAGACUUAAACAAUGAUUCGAAGACUGGUAAGGUUUUGCGCGUUAUAUCGCAUUAAACCAGAUGCUCCACCGCUUGUUCGGACCUCCGUCAAUUCCUUUGAGUUUCAACCUUGCGACUUUACUACCCAGGCGGAAUGUUUACGCGUUAGCUUAAAUGCUGGAAUAUAUUUCACCCCAACACCUAACAUUCAUCGGUCAGGGCGUGGACUAC
RNAcentral lists this unclassified non-coding RNA (396 nucleotides) under uncultured bacterium. Its description in RNAcentral is "contains 16S-23S intergenic spacer region". The record is from RNAcentral.